RNAcentral lists this ribosomal RNA (500 nucleotides) under uncultured dictyochophyte. RNAcentral's name for it is "SSU rRNA". It matches the Rfam family "Eukaryotic small subunit ribosomal RNA", at positions 1272 to 1794 of the family's 1831-position model. Lineage: Eukaryota; Dictyochophyceae. The record is from RNAcentral.
GGGUGGUGGUGCAUGGCCGUUCUUAGUUGGUGGAGUGAUUUGUCUGGUUAAUUCCGUUAACGAACGAGACCCCCGCCUGCUAAAUAGCACGAGGAAUGCUUCGCAUUGCUUGAUUGCUUCUUAGAGGGACUUUGUGUGACUAACACAAGGAAGUUGGGGGCAAUAACAGGUCUGUGAUGCCCUUAGAUGUCCUGGGCCGCACGCGCGCUACACUGAUGCAUGCAACGAGUUUAUAACCUUGGCCGGGAGGCCUGGGUAAUCUGUGAACGUGCAUCGUGAUAGGGAUAGAUUAUUGCAAUUAUUAAUCUUGAACGAGGAAUUCCUAGUAAACGCAAGUCAUCAGCUUGCAUUGAUUACGUCCCUGCCCUUUGUACACACCGCCCGUCGCACCUACCGAUCGAAGGUCAUGAUGAGCCCUCAGGAUAGGGAGUUGUUCCCUCACGGGAGCUUUUUUCUAGAAUUUGUGCAAAUCCUGCCUUAGAGGAAGUAAGCGACAGUAA